AACGAACGCUGGCGGCAUGCCUAACACAUGCAAGUCGAACGAGAUCUUCGGGUCUAGUGGCGCACGGGUGCGUAACGCGUGGGAAUCUGCCCUUUGGUUCGGAAUAACAGUUGGAAACGACUGCUAAUACUGGAUGAUGACGAAAGUCCAAAGAUUUAUCGCCAGAGGAUGAGCCCGCGUAGGAUUAGCUAGUUGGCUUGGUAAAGGCGCACCAAGGCGACGAUCCUUAGCCGGUCUGAGAGGAUGAUCAGCCACACUGGGACUGAGACACGGCCCAGACUCCUACGGGAGGCAGCAGUGGGGAAUAUUGGACAAUGGGCGAAAGCCUGAUCCAGCAAUGCCGCGUGAGUGAUGAAGGCCUUAGGGUUGUAAAGCUCUUUUACCCGGGAUGAUAAUGACAGUACCGGGAGAAUAAGCUCCGGCUAACUCCGUGCCAGCCGCCGCCGUGA
This 449-nucleotide ribosomal RNA is filed under the name uncultured bacterium. RNAcentral describes it as "partial 16S ribosomal RNA". It matches the Rfam family "Bacterial small subunit ribosomal RNA", at positions 29 to 523 of the family's 1533-position model. The record is from RNAcentral.